AGUCGAGCGCGCUCUUUUAGAGCGAGCGGCAAACGGGUGAGUAACGCGUGGGAAUCUACCCAUCUCUACGGAAUAACACAGAGAAAUUUGUGCUAAUACCGUAUACGUCCUAUAGGAGAAAGAUUUAUCGGAGAUGGAUGAGCCCGCGUUGGAUUAGCUAGUUGGUGAGGUAACGGCUCACCAAGGCGACGAUCCAUAGCUGGUCUGAGAGGAUGAUCAGCCACACUGGAACUGAGAUACGGUCCAG
This 247-nucleotide ribosomal RNA is filed under the name uncultured bacterium. RNAcentral's name for it is "partial 16S ribosomal RNA". It matches the Rfam family "Bacterial small subunit ribosomal RNA", at positions 60 to 334 of the family's 1533-position model. The record is from RNAcentral.